This is a long non-coding RNA of Acanthaster planci (crown-of-thorns starfish), 548 nucleotides long. Lineage: Eukaryota; Metazoa; Echinodermata; Asteroidea; Valvatida; Acanthasteridae. The record is from RefSeq and is a predicted model, not a curated record.
AGAGGGUGCAAUGGAAAUCAGCGCGCGACAUUUAAUGCUCGAUAUUUGACUCCACUGUCAUGUCGAGCUAGCUCUGCUGUCUGUAAUAUUCCUGGCGGACCGACCAGACAGUACAGACACACUGCAUAUAAGCAACACGCGAGUGCGCCCCCACGCGUGCACGUGUGUAUACAUGAGCGUACGGUGGUCGCUUCAAUCCUACAUCAUAGGUCUGCUAUUCCCUAAGUGGGAUCAACCCCGUCCAAAAUUCGAAAAAGUGGAAUACUAACGCUCCACUUAGUAGAGCUACUUUAAUCUGUUUAUUUUCGCGACUUCGUGUGUCAUCAAGAACUUAGUCGUUGAGGAAUGGCUGGCACACCUACGUGAUGACAUUGAUUGAUGGAGCAUCUUGAAUGGAGAGGAAGACAUUAAGAGAAGAUGAUGGAGCAAGGAGUGACCAAUGAGUGGGCAGCAUCAGUGGAGAGCACAGCACCUGACUCUGACAAGUUUGGCCUCGCAGAAAAUGAUGAAGAUGACUCUGAUGUUAGCCGUAGCACAGACAGUGAAGG